Lepisosteus oculatus (spotted gar) is the source of this 2043-nucleotide long non-coding RNA. RefSeq lists it as uncharacterized. NCBI's taxonomy places the organism in Eukaryota, Metazoa, Chordata, Actinopteri, Semionotiformes, Lepisosteidae. The record is from RefSeq and is a predicted model, not a curated record.
UGGAGCAGCAGUUUCUCUUCCACCUGACCUGUGAGCAGGGGGGCAGCAGGGGGUCUCUCCUGUAGGCGAAGCCCUUUGAGAGGCGCUAUAUCAACACAAGGAAUUCUCAGGCGGCGUUCCUGCUGGGAACGUGUGUGUCCCGGGACCAGCACGGGCCGGGGGGCCGCCCAGACACGCCCCCUGUGCGCCAGAGAGAACAAAGACAUUGCUUGUUCCAGGACGCUCCAGGCCGAAGUCCUCUCUCUCUCCGGGGACCGGCUGCCGUCGGAAAGCCCUGCGGACAAAGUUCCAAACCUGCUGGCGCUCGGUACAGGUAUUUCAGCCAGCCUGCUGCAGAGACCCCCCAGAGGAGCAGGCGGAGACAGGACCGGGCUCAGAGUGACCCCGAGGGCGACUGCACUCUCUGCCUCGCUGGCACACGGGGUGUUUGGACCCCCGGCUGUUAUAUCAUCACAUCAUACAUUCGGCACAACCUCUUGUUGCCAUGGGAGUAGGGAACAAGCUGCCCAGCCACGCCGACUCAGAUACGAGUUUCAUUUCUUGUUCCAAAUAAAGCUCAGCAAUCAACUUAAUUGAUUAAGUAUUGGCUCAGCUGAAAGGGCUGCAUGUUUUUUCUUAGGGUGCGUCUUACCCAAUGAUGCCACGGACUGCCCUGUGCCCAGUGGGGUCACUCUUUCCCCGUUAUUCAGUUGAUUCGAGGGGUUCAGGCCGCGAGGGAGUCCGAACCGAGUCCCCCCCCCCAGGAAGGAUGAGGUCACCUCCACACACUGCCUGCUGGCAAUCUGCUCCUGCUGCGCUCAGCGGGCGGAACCUUACACCCAGGGUGAGGUAACAGGAGCUGGCUGCCUGCGUGUGUCAGUGAGAGUUGGCAGGAUUACACCCCUCCUCCUCAUUUCCUAGAAGACAGACAGGUGUGCCCAGGUGAGUCAUCUCAGGCUCUGUCCUUGUUAAGGGGGCAGCGCCUCUAACAGCCUGCUGUCCGUCACACUUCUCUCAACCAGUUUACACAAAGAGCUGUGGGAGUGUGGAGCAAACCACCCAGCUUGUGGAGGAAUGACUUUAAUGGGCUGAAUUUAUAGCGGGUCUCGUCAACAGCGGGUCUCUGUGGGAGAUCCCACAGGUGCUGAACAUUGGGAUUCUCUGUUUCCUUGAACCUGCCCUCCCUACAGUUCCCACGUAUUUCACCCUGUGCAGCAGUUUCUCACUCCUGGGUGAUGAAGGGUCCCCUCUUGUAUGCAAGGCCCUGUGGGAGGCUUUGGGAUGAAGGACGCUAUAUACUCACACGAGUCAGUGUUCGGGCUCAGAUACAGGGUCCGGAGUCCUGGGCUCUGUUCUGGCCGGGCUGAGGUACAGUAUCUGUCAGCGUGGAGCCCCUAGACUACAAUGAGCAUGACCGAACCUGUUCAAGGCUUGCAGGGUGCACUGCAUCCCAAGAGAUGCAUCUGUUGAUAACUCUGGUGGUUAUUGCCGACGUUUACUGAGGAUCGUUUUCUACCCAGAUUUCAGGAAGAGAGGGGUAAGAUCCCUGCGGCUCGAGAGGUUUCUCUGGCGCCUCGCAGGUUCACGGAUUCCUCACAGGUCCUCACAGAUCGCACACCCAGGGAGCAGCGGCUCUCUCUGUGCCUGCUGCUCUUCAGGAAUGUGGUCCGUGCGACAAAUCUACUUGAUCACAUGAACACGGGAAAGAACUGAGAUUAUCCGCCCCACACGUCCUUCCAGACAAUCGAGACAAGUUUGUUUCCGCUGACACUAACAGAGCUCAAGUUAUUCUCACCUCUUAAACACAGGCAUCACACCUGUAAAUGGAUAAUUUCCAAAUCCUCGUCUCUGGAGCCAGCAGCUUCAGAAUAGGGGGGUCUCUUUUUAUUUGCAAACUCAUCAGCUCUUAACCCGACAGAAGCAGGUGAAGCUCAGGCCCGUGUGACAGUCUGUGAAUCAGCCAGUCUGACAAAUCCUCUGUCUGCCCCCCUGUUUCUCUCUCAGCCCCACCCACCCCUGUCAUUAUCCUGUUUAGGCUCCUCUCUGGACUCAGGAUCUUGGGCU